Long non-coding RNA from Apis florea (little honeybee), 440 nucleotides. The record is from RefSeq and is a predicted model, not a curated record. Lineage: Eukaryota; Metazoa; Arthropoda; Insecta; Hymenoptera; Apidae.
AAAUUAUGAAAAAUUAAAUAAGAGAAAGAUUAAAGAUAUUGCUUAUUAAAGUGAUAUUGCUGAAAUUAUGUAUGAUUACUUUGUUACGAGUUGCAAAUAUUUUCCUAAUGUUUUUCUCCCGUUAGAAUUUUACAAUUUUCCAAGUGUACCUUUUUUGCUUUUUCUAGCGAAUUGUUAAUUUCAUUAAAACUCGCGUCUAUUGCUAAUAAAUAUAAAGCUAGAUCAGUAUUGUUACAAAAUACGCACGAUAUAAGGAUAAUUUGUUGUGCGCACAAUCACAGUGACCAUGAUCGAGCGUUUAUGCUCGUGAUAAUAAUUAGAUUUCAUAAAUGAUCGCGUUUAUUUUUUUGUCAAAAAGCGUCUUUUACACAUCGUCGUGACUGAAAAUUGACUGGAUAUUAGAAGGAAUACAAGAAAAAAAUUAAUGAACUUCCUCCUAA